This 227-nucleotide long non-coding RNA is filed under the name Lathyrus oleraceus (garden pea). Its description in RNAcentral is "Pisum sativum (pea) long non-coding RNA (PSAT_LNC040208)". Lineage: Eukaryota; Viridiplantae; Streptophyta; Magnoliopsida; Fabales; Fabaceae. The record is from RNAcentral.
UCACAUGUCAAGACAACACACGUGGCAUCUUGUGAUAACACUAAGUUUUACCAAAAUUGAUGCCGACACAAAUAACCAACAAACUCCCCCUUUGGAAAAUUUUGGCUAAAACAUGCAUUAGAUCAUACGUUCACCAGAAAUCAAUCAAAGUAUCAGUUCAGUGGCAGAAGUAAACAUACACACAUUACUAGCAAAAAUAGCAACUAGUUAACACACAUGCGCUUGUG